UGACGUCACAUUGUUGCUUGUUUUUACUUUUUUGAAAGAGCUACUCUCGAACGUAGAUUAGCCAUUGCCGUCGUGUCGGCUGCAAGAUGUUCUGCGCGCGCUUGGCGCGCUUUUGUGCGUGUCGAAAGCGUAUAACGUGCGCGAUAUUCGUGCGAGCGCAGUUUGACUUGAGCAAUCGUGGGUUUGGACUCCGUGACAUUUGCUUUCGUCAUAUGCGAGUUAGGGGCUUGCCGACAGAUGAGUUGAGAUUUACACAUCAAUGCCAGCUCACAAAGCAUCUAAUACGGCAAUCAGCCAGCCACCUCCGCAGAU
This 312-nucleotide long non-coding RNA is filed under the name Dermacentor andersoni. RNAcentral's name for it is "uncharacterized LOC126529195". The record is from RNAcentral. Lineage: Eukaryota; Metazoa; Arthropoda; Arachnida; Ixodida; Ixodidae.